UGGCGAACGGGUGAGUAACACGUGGGUGAUCUGCCCCUUACUUUGGGAUAAGCCUGGGAAACUGGGUCUAAUACUGGAUAGGACCAUGCUGUAGGUGGUGUGGUGGAAAGAUUAGUUUCGGUAAGGGAUGAGCUCGCGGCCUAUCAGCUUGUUGGUGGGGUAAUGGCCUACCAAGGCGUCGACGGGUAGCCGGCCUGAGAGGGUGGACGGCCACAUUGGGACUGAGAUACGGCCCAG
RNAcentral lists this ribosomal RNA (237 nucleotides) under uncultured Corynebacterium sp. RNAcentral describes it as "partial 16S ribosomal RNA". It matches the Rfam family "Bacterial small subunit ribosomal RNA", at positions 96 to 334 of the family's 1533-position model. RNAcentral also lists the same sequence under 1 other name. Lineage: Bacteria; Bacillati; Actinomycetota; Actinomycetes; Mycobacteriales; Corynebacteriaceae. The record is from RNAcentral.